This 496-nucleotide ribosomal RNA is filed under the name uncultured Armatimonadota bacterium. RNAcentral describes it as "bacterial SSU rRNA". It matches the Rfam family "Bacterial small subunit ribosomal RNA", at positions 355 to 865 of the family's 1533-position model. Lineage: Bacteria; Bacillati; Armatimonadota. The record is from RNAcentral.
UUGGGAAUCUUGCACAAUGGGGGAAACCCUGAUGCAGCGACGCCGCGUGGAGGAUGACGGAUCUAGGUCUGUAAACUCCUUUUUCAUGGAAAGACUUAGGACGGUACCAUGAGAAUAAGGACCGGCUGACUACGUGCCAGCAGCCGCGGUAAGACGUAGGGUCCAAGCGUUGUCCGGAUUUACUGGGCGUAAAGAGCGCGUAGGCGGUCUGUUAAGUGUGAAGUGAAAUCUCCAGGGCUCAACCCGGAAACUGCUUCGCAUACUGGCAGACUUGAGGAAUGCAGAGGUUUGUGGAAUUCCCGGUGUAACGGUGAAAUGUGUUGAUAUCGGGAGGAACACCCAUGGCGAAGGCAGCAAACUGGGCAUUAUCUGACGCUGAGGCGCGAAAGCGUGGGUAGCAAACAGGAUUAGAUACCCUGGUAGUCCACGCCCUAAACGAUGGAUACUAGGCGUAAGAGGUAUCGACCCCUCUUGUGCCGCAGUCAACGCAUUAAGU